Long non-coding RNA from Helianthus annuus (common sunflower), 1630 nucleotides. RefSeq lists it as uncharacterized. Lineage: Eukaryota; Viridiplantae; Streptophyta; Magnoliopsida; Asterales; Asteraceae. The record is from RefSeq and is a predicted model, not a curated record. The transcript is spliced from 4 exons.
GCUACAGAGGUUUUAAAUGUGGCGAUUACUAUCAGGCUAUUAUUUAAAGUUACUUCUCGGCAUUUAUGCUUAUAUUGAUUCUUUUAUAAUUAACCUGAGAUUGGAGGUCCAAAAUAAUUGUUGUGACAAAGACCUAUGUGGUUCUCAACAAGGCUGACCGCACAUCAGCUUGUGUAUUUGUUCCCUUGAUCUUAUCUUAUGAUACACAUGACUGGGUUUUCACUUCUUACUGCAAAAACAUCUUGGCCAUAUACUUUCGUAUUAGACGCAUUUUUGUUUUUUAUUCCUUUGGUUCCGUUUAUUAAUAGUAUUUUGUAUUUACAUUAUGGGGGUGUUUUCUCUUGCCAAAUGAUUUAGUUGAAAAGAUAUGGAAUUGAUUAUAUUAGUUAACCUCUUAAUCGGUCUUAUCCAUCAGGUACAUGUAUUAUUUGUCUUUAUUAAUCCAUGAUAAAUAUCCCAGACCACUAAUCAAUAUUCAAUAGUAACAAUAUUUUUUUUGGUUACUUUCAGGAUCUCUGUGUUCACGUGUAGCAAAAUUAGUGGGUCAAAAGUUGCUUCAAUCAUCCGCAGUCCAAAUGCCUACAAUCAUCAGGUAUCGUAACGAUUAUUUAAGUAAUUUUUUAUUUUACAACUGGGCAGUAUGACAAAUUUAAACGCUAAUAGUGGAUUUGUAUCCAAUAUGGCUUCAAGAGGAGAUAAAGUAUCGGUUUUAGCAUUUGAAGUAGCUAAUACCAUUGUUUAAGGGUCCAAUUUGAUGCAAUCCCUUACCGAAAAGCAUCCAGAUCCUUAUAAAGGAGAUUUUGCAUUCAGAUCUAGAGAGUUUGUUCGGUUUAGAAAUAUGUGGGCUGGCAUAUAUACCUGUUGACGCACAAUACGACAACAAUAGAGGUGAUUUAAGAGAAAACACACUGCUUUAGAGGCUGGAAUUUCAGCAAACGGUUGCGGGCAUCAGUCACAUUUCAUUUGGUGGAGAAGAAUCGGUAUCUCCUAAAAAGGCACUUUUUGAGGCUAAGUAGCGGGAGUUAAGUGGUACAUUAGAUAAGGAGUCAGAUUCAACGUUGAAAAAAACAGUUUUCAAAUGCAAAGAACAAGGAACUUAGUGGACAUAACAUAUUUGCACCACCUCCUGAAAUUCAACUUCGCCCGUUGGCUGCGCGCGCAUUGGCGUUGAGAGAAAGCAUAACGAUCAGUGAAUCUACUCCAAACAAUACAAAUGUUGCAGAACUGGUGAAGACGGCAAAAAGAUCCCGAGCCAGAAAUUCACAGAGCUUUCUGGAAACAAUAUUUUCAAAGGUGACGAGGUGCCAGCAUCGACAGAAAAACCUCUGAGCUCAGCAAAGCUUUGAGAAAUGAGUGGAAGUAAUAUCUUUGCUGACGGGAAAGCAGAAUCUAAAGACUAUCUAGGGGCUCGCAAGCCGCCGGCUGGAGAUAGUAGCAUUGCUUUGGUUUAGGUUCUAACACAUUUGUUUUCAGUAUCAUUGUUUCUUUUUCAUGUUUUUGGUAAAUGGUACUUGGUGGUGCUAUUCAUAUGGAUUUGAUUGUGGGUUUGUGGCUCUUUAUCAUCUGUUUUGUCUUAGCGUAUAUGAUAGUUUAUGGACCCAGUAUGUGUUCUUUUGGCUAAUUAGUGCGA